GAUGAACGCUAGCGGCAGGCCUAACACAUGUAAGUCGAGGGGUAGCAGGAUUAAGCUUGCUUAAUUGCUGACGACCGGCGCACGGGUGCGUAACGCGUAUGCAACCUACCUUAUACUGGGGUAUAGCCCGGAGAAAUUCGGAUUAAUCCCCCAUAGUACUAAUGAAUCGCAUGGUUUAUUAGUUAAAGCAUUGCGGUAUAAGAUGGGCAUGCGUCCUAUUAGCUAGAUGGUGAGGUAACGGCUCACCAUGGCUGCGAUAGGUAGGGGGCCUGGGAGGGUGGUCCCCCACACUGGUACUGAGACACGGACCAGACUCCUACUGGAGGCAGCAGUGAGGAAUAUUGGUCAAUGGGCGCAAGCCUGAACCAGCCAUGCCGCGUGCAGGAAGAAUGCCCUAUGGGUUGUAAACUGCUUUUAUUUGGGAAUAAACCUCUUUACGUGUAGAGAGCUGAAGGUACCAAAUGAAUAAGCACCGGCUAACUCCGUGCCAGCAGCCGCAGUAA
RNAcentral lists this ribosomal RNA (503 nucleotides) under uncultured bacterium. RNAcentral describes it as "partial 16S ribosomal RNA". It matches the Rfam family "Bacterial small subunit ribosomal RNA", at positions 28 to 523 of the family's 1533-position model. The record is from RNAcentral.